GGGGUUGUGGCGCAACGGUAGCGCGCGCGACUCCAGUUCCAAUAUCUUGGUCAUCGCGCGGUUGCAGGUUCGAAUCCUGUCGACCUCA
This is a non-coding RNA of Arachnomyces sp. PD_36, 88 nucleotides long. The record is from the annotation of a GenBank genome assembly. NCBI's taxonomy places the organism in Eukaryota, Fungi, Ascomycota, Eurotiomycetes, Onygenales, Arachnomycetaceae.